GUCCUUUCAAGGACAUACAUAAAAUUGGAAACGAUAAUGAUAAGAUUAGCAUUGUCCCUAGUCCCUACACAUGGAUGAUACACAUUAAUUGAGAAAUUUAUUCUUCCGAAUUUU
Molecule: small nuclear RNA, 114 nt
Filed under: Olea europaea subsp. europaea
Lineage: Eukaryota; Viridiplantae; Streptophyta; Magnoliopsida; Lamiales; Oleaceae
Source: RNAcentral